AAGUUGUUGUGGAAAUUCUUCGUCGGGAAAGGAAGGGGUAUGAAGAGACGCCGGCGGUGUGGGCUUCAUCAGCCGCAGGUGUUGGAAUAAACGUCGUCGGAGUUGAUUCAUCGUGACAAAUAGUUCGAUGGUUUAAUUUGCUUUUAUUUUCUUCCACUAAAUGAUGCGUGUAAAAUGUACAAAGUGUAGAUUGUACCACAUUCUAAGAAACACAAAUUAUAUCCAAUACGUAUAUCCAAAGGAUCCUUGGUGCAAUGAUAGUGCGUCUGUCUCCAAAUUAAAAGGUUCUGUGUUCGAUUCAUAUGAGGUUCAAUCGCCUCAUUUGGAAAUCUUUUUGUUUAUCAUACCAAAAGGAAAUAAUAACCAAUAAAUGCAUUAUAUACACCUAAAAAUGUAUCUUUUAAGUGUUUAUGUCUAG
Molecule: long non-coding RNA, 418 nt
Filed under: Linum usitatissimum (flax)
Lineage: Eukaryota; Viridiplantae; Streptophyta; Magnoliopsida; Malpighiales; Linaceae
Description: long non-coding RNA (LUSI_LNC001974)
Source: RNAcentral